This is a long non-coding RNA of Rana temporaria (common frog), 610 nucleotides long. RefSeq lists it as uncharacterized. The record is from RefSeq and is a predicted model, not a curated record. NCBI's taxonomy places the organism in Eukaryota, Metazoa, Chordata, Amphibia, Anura, Ranidae. The transcript has 2 exons.
AUUACCGCUGCCCGUGACGUAAUCGCGCCUCAACAAUGUGCUCCAAGCCUCGCUCCCACUGCUUACACUGUCCGGACUUCCUGACUCACAAACAGAAGGAGCCAUACAGGAUCAAGAGACCACACACAGCUGACAUCUAGUGCGGAUGGUCGCCACACCGUGGGCCAGCCAGGACUUGUAUGCAGGUUAUACAGAAUUUCUAUGUUUGGAGCCUCAUAAACUAAAAUGCAACAAAAAGUAACCGUAGGGAGUACUUACAGGGAUAAUAGAGUCUUAUUUGCGUUGCUGAGGUACGUAUAAUCUCUGUGCCAACUUUUUAAUGAUAUGAAAGCCUCACAGGGUAUUUCUGGUAACUUGAUACAGUGAAAAACGUCUCUAUAUUUUCUGUUUGCAUAUUCACAUUCUUCUUGUUGGGAAUUCAAGUAAAAUCCACAUUCUGUAUUUACUUCCUGUUUUUUAUGAAUAAAUAAUCCGGUGUAGCCAAUAUAAUUGUAUCCCAUGUUCCUCCCUUUCCACAGCAGAGCUACCCCUUCACUGGGAUGCACUAGGAGAAUAGAUAUUUGUACUUGUCCUUCCCAAAAUAAUGUAAAAUAAAUAUUGUAAGAUCCAU